Molecule: ribosomal RNA, 406 nt
Filed under: uncultured bacterium
Lineage: Bacteria
Description: partial 16S ribosomal RNA
Rfam family: Bacterial small subunit ribosomal RNA
Source: RNAcentral
AUUGAACGCUGGCGGCAGGCCUAACACAUGCAAGUCGAACGAGUGGCGGACGGGUGAGUAUUGUCUGGGAAACUGCCCGAGGGAGGGGGAUAACUACUGGAAACGGUAUCUAAUACCGCAUACUAUCGUAUGUGCCCCGAUGGGUUUAGCUCGUAGGUGGGGUAACGGCUCACCUGGGCGACGAUCCCUAGCUGGUCUGAGAGGAUGACCAGCCACACUGGAACUGAGACAAGGUCAAGACUCCUACGGGAGGCAGCAGUGGGGAAUAUUGCACAAUGGGCGCAAGCCUGAUGCAGCCAUGCCGCGUGUAUGAAGAAGGCCUUCGGGUUGUAAAGUACUUUCAGCGAGGAGGCGUUACUCGCAGAAGAAGCACCGGCUAACUCCGUGCCAGCCGCCGCGGUAAUUC